CGCUCCUUGAUCUGGCCAAUGCUAUGUCCCCAUAGGCAGGAGAUCGGUCCUCAGGAAACAACCAAUCACAGGGAAAUAGCGCUUCUCUGUGGCUGAGCUUUACAGGGGAAAUUCCACAAAUAGUCUCAAAAUGGCGACAAUAGGCCGCACUUUGUGUCCCCCCUCCCAGUUUCUGUCUUUGAGCACGGAGGACCUGCACACCACACUGCUGGGGUGAAAGGUUUUUUUUAUAAAGUCCUGCGGUCUAUUACAACUGGUUAACAUGACGGCUCUUAGAGCCAGUAAUAAGCGAGAGUUUAACAUUAACCCGGCCACAGUGAACGCCAGUGUAACAAAGAGAAGGGAAGCCGGCAUUAACUAACACAGAGCGUCCAACGCGGGCAGUGACAGACACAGCUCUAUUAGGAUAUAGUGGGUGGCCCUUAAAAGGGCCUUUGGGUUAUUAGGGUGUGCGGUAAGCCGAGUCAGGGUUUUACCCUCCGAAGCCAUAGAGAGUGCG
Molecule: non-coding RNA, 499 nt
Organism: Pelobates cultripes (western spadefoot toad)
Lineage: Eukaryota; Metazoa; Chordata; Amphibia; Anura; Pelobatidae
Source: the annotation of a GenBank genome assembly